GACACAGGUGAGCCCGUGGGAUGGGAAAGACGUGGGGUGCAAUAGUUAAUCUGGGUUGCUGGUAGUAAAGAGUACGUAUGUGGUGAAUUAAGGCAGUUGUGAUAGCCCUGGGCUUAACCUGUGAACAGUAAAUGAUGCUGGUUGAGUAGAGUCGAAGAGAGGGAAGCGGAAUGUCCGGUGUAGCGGUGAAAUGCGUAGAUAUCGGAAGGAACAUCAGUGGCGAAGGCGGCUUCCUGGCUUCAGACUGACGCUGAGGUGCGAAAGCGUGGGGAGCAAACAGGAUUAGAUACCCGGGUAGUC
Molecule: ribosomal RNA, 300 nt
Filed under: uncultured Halococcus sp.
Lineage: Archaea; Methanobacteriati; Methanobacteriota; Halobacteria; Halobacteriales; Halococcaceae
Description: bacterial SSU rRNA
Rfam family: Bacterial small subunit ribosomal RNA (bases 56-300)
Source: RNAcentral